Molecule: ribosomal RNA, 770 nt
Filed under: uncultured Neocallimastigales
Lineage: Eukaryota; Fungi; Neocallimastigomycota; Neocallimastigomycetes; Neocallimastigales
Description: partial large subunit ribosomal RNA
Rfam family: Eukaryotic large subunit ribosomal RNA (bases 3-660)
Source: RNAcentral
UACACGCUGUGACUAGCAUAUCAAUAAGCGGAGGAAAAGAAACUAACAAGGAUUCCCUCAGUAACGGCGAGUGAAGCGGGAAGAGCUCAAAUUUGAAAUCUUGAAAGGUCACCUUUCACGAAUUGUAGUUUAAAGAAGUGUUUUCUGUUACGAUCGUAAUAUAAGUUCUUUGGAAUAGGACAUCACAGAGGGUGAGAAUCCCGUCUAUGAUUGCGAUUUGUAGCUUUGUGAUACACUUUCAAAGAGUCGGGUUGUUUGGGAAUGCAGCCCAAAACGGGAGGUAAAUUUCUUCUAAGGCUAAAUAUUGGCGAGAGACCGAUAGCGAACAAGUACCGUGAGGGAAAGAUGAAAAGAACUUUGAAAAGAGAGUUAAAUAGUACGUGAAAUUGUCAAAAGGGAAGCGUUUAACACCAGUGUUGUUUUCUGAAAAUCAACCUCUGUUAGCUUUAUGCAUGUUUGUUUAGACCUAAUCAGCUAUCUUUCAUGUUCUAUUGUUUGCAGUGGUGCACUUUUCAGUUUACAGGUCAACAUCAGUUUUUUUUACCGUAAAAAAGUUAAAGAAAGGUAGCUCAUGGCUCCGGUCGUGAGUGUUAUAGUCUUUUUCCUAUGCGGUAGGAGAGACUGAGGUCUGCAGUGUAGGCUAUUUGGCUAGAUACUCAGGUGCUAUGUGAUACCAUUUCAUAAACAACUUGUUGAUUAUGUUUUGUCUAUUGCAUACUCGCUUGUACUAUCAUACCUACGCUUAGGAUGUUGAGUAGCGACAUACGCAC